GAUGAAGAACGUAGCGAAAUGCGAUAAGUAAUGUGAAUUGCAGAAUUCAGUGAAUCAUCGAAUCUUUGAACGCACAUUGCGCCCGUUAGCAUUCUAGCGGGCAUGCCUGUCCGAGCGUCAUUUCAACCCUCAGGGUCCCCGUUCCGGCGGGGAACCUGGUGUUGGGGAUCGGCUCGCCCCGUGCGGCGCCGUCCCCCAAAUUCAGUGGCGGUCUCGCUGCAGCCUCCCCUGCGUAGUAGUUACAACCUCGCAUCGGAGCUCAGCGCGGCCACGCCGUAAAACCCCCGACUUUCUGAACGUUGACCUCGGAUCAGGUAGGACUACCCGCUGAACUUAAGCAUAUCAAUAAGCGGAGGA
This 357-nucleotide unclassified non-coding RNA is filed under the name soil metagenome. RNAcentral's name for it is "partial contains 5.8S ribosomal RNA, internal transcribed spacer 2, and large subunit ribosomal RNA". The stretch from base 1 to 120 matches the Rfam family "5.8S ribosomal RNA", at positions 35 to 154 of the family's 154-position model. The record is from RNAcentral.